AGUGGCGGACGGGUGAGUAACGCGUGAGAAUCUGCCUUGGGGUCGGGGACAACCACUGGAAACGGUGGCUAAUACCGGAUAAGCCGAUUGGUGAAAGAUUUAUUGCCCGAAGAGGAGCUCGCGUCUGAUUAGCUAGUUGGUGAGGUAAGAGCUCACCAAGGCAGCGAUCAGUAGCUGGUCUGAGAGGACGAUCAGCCACACUGGGACUGAGACACGGCCCAGACUCCUACGGGAGGCAGCAGUGGGGAAUUUUCCGCAAUGGGCGAAAGCCUGACGGAGCAAGACUGCGUGAGGGAGGAAGGCUCUUGGGUUGUAAACCUCUUUUCUCAGGGAAGAAGCUCUGACGGUACCUGAGGAAUCAGCCUCGGCUAACUCCGUGCCAGCAGCCGCGGUAAUACGGAGGAGGCAAGCGUUAUCCGGAAUUAUUGGGCGUAAAGCGUCCGCAGGUGGCGAUUCAAGUCUGCUGUCAAAGCACGGGGCUUAACUCCGUAAAGGCAGUGGAAACUGAAUAGCUAGAGUGCCGUAGGGGUAGAGGGAAUUCCCGGUGUAGCGGUGAAAUGCGUAGAGAUCGGGAAGAACAUCGGUGGCGAAAGCGCUCUACUGGACGGCAACUGACACUCAGGGACGAAAGCUAGGGGAGCGAAUGGGAUUAGAUACCCC
RNAcentral lists this ribosomal RNA (660 nucleotides) under uncultured bacterium. RNAcentral describes it as "bacterial SSU rRNA". It matches the Rfam family "Bacterial small subunit ribosomal RNA", at positions 94 to 788 of the family's 1533-position model. The record is from RNAcentral.